Molecule: long non-coding RNA, 365 nt
Filed under: Fukomys damarensis (Damara mole-rat)
Lineage: Eukaryota; Metazoa; Chordata; Mammalia; Rodentia; Bathyergidae
Description: lncRNA (ENSFDAG00000032453.1)
Source: RNAcentral
GACAUUUUAUACCUUGAAUGUAGAAAUUUAUCCUGGACUUCAGCCACCAGGUGUUUCUUCAUGCAGUAAUAAACUGUAUGUUUGGGAACAGACUUGAAACUAUUUAAAAAAGGAAUCAAAAUGUCACAUUUGAUAAUUGGUUCGCUGGUUACCCAUUGAUGUUACAUUUGCUAAAAGAACACCAGUUCAGCAGCACAGGAACUAUUGGCAUAAACAAAGUCAUAGAUGCUUGGGGAAGCGACAGAUCACCCACAGUGUCACUGCUGGCUUCCCAAGCAGCUGGAAUGGCUGCUGCUCUUCAGGCCUCCCUUGGGAUCACUCAGAGAUGGAAAAUUCUCAGCCUCAACUGGAGAUUAGAAACAAAG